GUGCAAGCCGUAUACACGCAUCGUCGCGCGGACGCGCGCUCGCGCGCGCCUAUCUCUUUACGAGAGAUAUCGGCGCGCGGGCGCGCGCGCUCCCGCGGCGCUGCUAGAACCGGUGAAACCGCGAAAGGCUCAUUAAAUCAGUUAUGGUUCCUUAGAUCGUGCCCACGUUACUUGGAUAACUGUGGUAAUUCUAGAGCUAAUACAUGCCGACAGAGUUCCGACCAGCGCCGUCGAUGCGCCGCNNNNNNNNCGCGCGCGACUGCGCUCGGAAGGAACGCUCUUAUUAGAUCAAAACCGGCCGAGCGGGAUCGGUCGUUNNNNNNNNCGGCGACGCGCGUCGCCCUCUUCUAUACACGAAUCGUUACCCCCGUAAGCGGCCCGCGCAAAGACUUGACGACUCUGAAUAAUUUCUAGCUGAUCGCACGGUCGAAAUAUUUAUAUAUUCACGCAAAGCACCGGCGACGUAUCUUUCAAAUGUCUGCCUUAUCAACUGUCGACGGUAGGUUCGACGCCUACCGUGGUGGUUACGGGUAACGGGGAAUCAGGGUUCGAUUCCGGAGAGGGAGCCUGAGAAACGGCUACCACAUCCAAGGAAGGCAGCAGGCGCGCAAAUUACCCACUCCCAGCUCGGGGAGGUAGUGACGAAAAAUAACGAUACGGGACUCAUCCGAGGCCCCGUAAUCGGAAUG
RNAcentral lists this ribosomal RNA (689 nucleotides) under Apiomorpha ovicola. RNAcentral's name for it is "partial 18S small subunit ribosomal RNA". It matches the Rfam family "Eukaryotic small subunit ribosomal RNA", at positions 63 to 516 of the family's 1831-position model. Lineage: Eukaryota; Metazoa; Arthropoda; Insecta; Hemiptera; Eriococcidae. The record is from RNAcentral.